UAGGGAAUCUUCCGCAAUGGACGCAAGUCUGACGGAGCAACGCCGCGUGAGUGAAGAAGGAUUUCGGUUCGUAAAACUCUGUUGUUAGAGAAGAACAGCGCAUAGAGUAACUGUUAUGCGUGUGACGGUAUCUAACCAGAAAGCCACGGCUAACUACGUGCCAGCAGCCGCGGUAAUACGUAGGUGGCAAGCGUUGUCCGGAUUUAUUGGGCGUAAAGCGAGCGCAGGCGGUCAAUUAAGUCUGAUGUGAAAGCCCCCGGCUCAACCGGGGAGGGUCAUUGGAAACUGGUUGACUUGAGUGCAGAAGAAGAGGGUGGAAUUCCAUGUGUAGCGAUGAAAUGCGUGGAUAUAUGGAGGAACACCAGUGGCGAAGGCGACUCUCUGGUCUGUAACUGACGCUGAGGUUCGAAAGCGUGGGUAGCAAACAGG
RNAcentral lists this ribosomal RNA (429 nucleotides) under Bacteroidota bacterium. RNAcentral's name for it is "Bacteroidetes bacterium partial 16S ribosomal RNA". It matches the Rfam family "Bacterial small subunit ribosomal RNA", at positions 355 to 776 of the family's 1533-position model. The record is from RNAcentral. Lineage: Bacteria; Pseudomonadati; Bacteroidota.